RNAcentral lists this ribosomal RNA (694 nucleotides) under uncultured Bacillus sp. Its description in RNAcentral is "bacterial SSU rRNA". It matches the Rfam family "Bacterial small subunit ribosomal RNA", at positions 76 to 754 of the family's 1533-position model. The record is from RNAcentral. Lineage: Bacteria; Bacillati; Bacillota; Bacilli; Caryophanales; Bacillaceae.
AAGCUUGCUUCUCUGAUGGUUAGCGGCGGACGGGUGAGUAACACGUAGGCAACCUGCCCUCAAGCUUGGGACAACUACCGGAAACGGUAGCUAAUACCGAAUAGUUGUUUUCUUCUCCUGAAGAGAACUGGAAAGACGGAGCAAUCUGUCACUUGGGGAUGGGCCUGCGGCGCAUUAGCUAGUUGGUGGGGUAACGGCUCACCAAGGCGACGAUGCGUAGCCGACCUGAGAGGGUGAUCGGCCACACUGGGACUGAGACACGGCCCAGACUCCUACGGGAGGCAGCAGUAGGGAAUCUUCCGCAAUGGGCGAAAGCCUGACGGAGCAAUGCCGCGUGAGUGAUGAAGGUUUUCGGAUCGUAAAGCUCUGUUGCCAGGGAAGAACGCUUGGGAGAGUAACUGCUCUCAAGGUGACGGUACCUGAGAAGAAAGCCCCGGCUAACUACGUGCCAGCAGCCGCGGUAAUACGUAGGGGGCAAGCGUUGUCCGGAAUUAUUGGGCGUAAAGCGCGCGCAGGCGGUCAUUUAAGUCUGGUGUUUAAUCCCGGGGCUCAACCCCGGAUCGCACUGGAAACUGGGUGACUUGAGUGCAGAAGAGGAGAGUGGAAUUCCACGUGUAGCGGUGAAAUGCGUAGAUAUGUGGAGGAACACCAGUGGCGAAGGCGACUCUCUGGGCUGUAACUGACGCUGAGGCGC